GACGAACGCUGGCGGCGUGCUUAACACAUGCAAGUCGAACGGAAAGGCCCUGCUUGCAGGGUACUCGAGUGGCGAACGGGUGAGUAACACGUGGGUGAUCUGCCCUGCACUUCGGGAUAAGCCUGGGAAACUGGGUCUAAUACCGGAUAGGAGCCAUUUUUAGUGUGAUGGUUGGAAAGUUUUUUUGGUGUAGGAUGAGCCUGAGGGCUAUCAGCUUGUUGGUGGGGUAAUGGCCUACCAAGGCGGCGACGGGUAGCCGGCCUGGGAGGGUGGACGGCCACAGUGGGACUGGGAUACGGCCCAGACUCCGACGGGAGGGAGCAGUGGGGAAUAUUGCACAAGGGGCGCAAGCCUGAUGCAGCGACGCCGCGGGGGGGAGGACGGCCUUCGGGUUGUAAACUCCAUUCGCUAGGGACGAAGCUUUUUGUGACGGUACCUAGAUAAGAAGCCCCGGCUAACUACGUG
Molecule: ribosomal RNA, 465 nt
Filed under: uncultured bacterium
Lineage: Bacteria
Description: partial 16S ribosomal RNA
Rfam family: Bacterial small subunit ribosomal RNA
Source: RNAcentral